AUGGAGGUUCCCAGGCUAGGGGUUGAAUCGGAGCUGUAGCCACCAGCCUACGCCAGAGCCACAGCAACGCGGGAUCCGAGCCGCGUCUGCAACCUACACCACAGCUCACGGCAACACUGGAUCAUUAACCCACUGAGCAAGGGCAGGGACUGAACCCGCAACCUCAUGGUUCCUAGUCGGAUUCGUUAACCACUGCGCCACGACGGGAACUCCCUACCCCGCCUUUUCUGCUGUUUCUUUGAGUUUGACUUAUUUUUCUGCUUGGUUUCUUGGCAUCUCGUCCCACCAGGUGUUGUUUAGGAGCUAGUCAAGGAUUUGGGGGCUCUUUUUUUGAUUUUCCCGUUCAAUUUCAGCCAUUCUGGUAGCCCUGAACUCCGACCUCGCCUUCCUUCUGUGGUAGGAUUGCUUAAGCAAGAUUGUGCUCUGAGAACUGGGAAGUGGCCUCUGGUCAGCCACUCAACGUGUAGAGCUCGUGGAGUGUCUCUCAGCGAUUGUGUCCCUCCAGUUUCUGCAUGCUUUCAGUUGGCCUCCGGUACCAUCAAAUAGCUGGUUUUGUAUUUUGUCCAGAAUUUAUAAUUAGCAUCAGCAGGGGGAUUAGUCAGAUGCAGCUACUCCAUCCUUUCUGGAACCAGAACUCUCAGACCUGUGCAUUUAUUCUUUUUUUUUUUUUUUUGCUUUUUAGGGCAUAUGGAAGUUCCCAGGCUAGGGGUCAAAUUGGAGCUGUAGCCACUGGCCUACGCCAGAGCCACAGCAACGUGGGAUCCAAGCCGAAUCUGCAGCCUACACCACAGCUUGGGGCAACGCCGGAUCGUUAACCCACCGAGCAAGGGCAGGGACUGAACCCGCAACCUCAUGGUUCCUAGUCGGAUUCGUUAACCACUGCGCCACGACGGGAACUCCCUUUUUUUUUUUUUUAAAAAAAAAGACCUCACUUUUUGAUGAGGAGCUGUAGGGAGUUUGUGCCUAUCUCGAAUUUGUCCCAGUGUCUUAGGAGAGGGAAACUAGCCCUGGGAGAGAGAAAGGAGGGCUGCUGGGUCUGUGUUUAAUGUGUGCUUGGGGUUUGUGGUCAUUAAUUAAAGCGAGUAAAACUUAGAGUUCUCUUGCGGCUUAGCAGAUUAAGGAUCCAGUCUUGUCCCUGCAGUGGCUUGGGUCGCUGUUGUGGCCUGGGUUUAAUCCCUGGCCUAGGAACUUCCACAUACUGUGAGUGCGGCCAAAAAAAAAAAAAGAAAAAAAAAAAAAGAAAAAAAAAAAUAAAGCAAGUAAGGGGUUCCCUUUGUGGCUCAGUGGUUAAUGAACCUGCCAGCUCUGAUUAGACUCCUAGCCUGGGAACCUCCAUAUGCUGUGGGUGAGGCCCUAAAAAGCAAAAAAAAAAAACAAAAAAAAAAA
Molecule: long non-coding RNA, 1386 nt
Filed under: Sus scrofa (pig)
Lineage: Eukaryota; Metazoa; Chordata; Mammalia; Artiodactyla; Suidae
Description: lncRNA (ENSSSCG00015057479.1)
Source: RNAcentral